AGUGAACGCUGGCGGUAGGCUUAACACAUGCAAGUCGAACGGCAGCACGGUAAGCGCUUGCUCUUCCGGUUGGCGAGUGGCGGACGGGUGAGGGAUACAUCGGCAUCUACUUUUUCGAGGGGGACAACGUCGGGAAUCUUACGCUAAUACAGCAUACGACGUAAGGGUGGGAGCAGGAGGCCUUCGGCCCUUGCACGAUUCGAUGACCCGAUGUCGGAUUAGCUAGUUGGUGGGGUAAAGGCUCACCAAGGCGACGAUCCGUAGCUGGUCUGAGAGGACGACCAGCCACACUGGGACUGAGACACGGCCCAGACUCCUACGGGAGGCAGCAGUGGGGAAUUUUGGACAAUGGGGGCAAGCCUGAUCCAGCCAUGCCGCGUGCGGGAAGAAGGCCUUCGGGUUGUAAACCGCUUUUGUUCGGGAAGAAAUCCUCUGGGCUAAUACCCCGGGGGGAUGACGGUACCGGAAGAAUAAGCACCGGCUAACUACGUG
This 492-nucleotide ribosomal RNA is filed under the name uncultured bacterium. RNAcentral's name for it is "partial 16S ribosomal RNA". It matches the Rfam family "Bacterial small subunit ribosomal RNA", at positions 29 to 507 of the family's 1533-position model. The record is from RNAcentral.